RNAcentral lists this small RNA (107 nucleotides) under Marmota monax (woodchuck). Lineage: Eukaryota; Metazoa; Chordata; Mammalia; Rodentia; Sciuridae. The record is from RNAcentral.
GCCAGGUGUGGUGGUGCAUGCCUGUAAUCCCAGCAACAUGGGAGGCUGAGGCAGGAGAAUCACAAGUUCAAGGUCAGCCCCAGCAACUUGGCAAAGUCCUGUCUCAA